Rosa chinensis is the source of this 662-nucleotide long non-coding RNA. RefSeq lists it as uncharacterized. The record is from RefSeq and is a predicted model, not a curated record. NCBI's taxonomy places the organism in Eukaryota, Viridiplantae, Streptophyta, Magnoliopsida, Rosales, Rosaceae. The transcript has 3 exons.
AAUAUCAGAAAAAUUCUGAUAUUUCAUUAAGGACGAAAGUUUUGAGUUUUUGCGGAACAGUCCCCCAGAACUCUCUGUUCUCUCUCUUCGGUUUCUCUUCAGAACCCUCGGGUUCCGACCGACCCGACCCAGAUCCAUCUCCCUCCUCCGACGUCCUCCGGCCACGACCCGGCCCUCUCCGUGAUCGCCGUGCUCCGCCAAGUCGCCCUCUGCCAUCGAUUUGCUCCGCCGCUGCCCCGAAAGCUGGAUCGAAGGAGCCACAGUUCCGAUCGGUGACCCGGCCGGACUUCCCGUUUUCCGGCAUCUCCUCGGCCGAUCCUUCCCAUUUUCGUGAUCUCCUCUUCAUGCUGAUCAUCCCUAUGUACUUGACGGUUUGAGUUGACGAGCGUUUGGAAUAUCGUUAUAAUUGACUUUUUGGAAGACGCAGCUGGAUUAGAGCGGGUAGUGUCACAGGUCAGGAGAUUCAGAGCAGUGAUCGUGCGGUUUAGAGAAUUAGUAUUAGAUUUAUAACAUUUGUUUUGUGAGGAGAAUUAUACUCUUUGACUUUUAUAAUUUGUUUUAGUGAGAGUGUGCUGUAAUAAGUAGCUUGAGGAUUUGGUUUAUGUAAUAUCAAGAGGUGUAAUUAGUGGUUGUUUCUGAGAGAAAAAAAAAUUCAGAAUGUA